UUAACUAUUAGAUAGUACUCAGACAUCACUAAAAUCACGAGUUGGGGUCCUCCGGCGGGCACUCCCCAGCGUGAGCCGGGGGCUUGACGCGGCCCGCCAAAGCAACAAAGGUAGAGUAGACAGAGGGUUUAGCGUGACGCCGUAGUGCCCGCAAGCGGGCUUCGGGCGCGGCGGGGGCUUGACCCCGCCCGCAUUUAAUGAUCCUUCCGCAGGUUCACCUACGGAGA
Molecule: unclassified non-coding RNA, 227 nt
Filed under: uncultured fungus
Lineage: Eukaryota; Fungi
Description: sequence contains ITS1
Source: RNAcentral